RNAcentral lists this ribosomal RNA (484 nucleotides) under uncultured bacterium. Its description in RNAcentral is "partial 16S ribosomal RNA". It matches the Rfam family "Bacterial small subunit ribosomal RNA", at positions 28 to 507 of the family's 1533-position model. The record is from RNAcentral.
AUUGAACGCUGGCGGCAGGCCUAACACAUGCAAGUCGAGCGGAUGAAGGGAGCUUGCUCCUGGAUUCAGCGGCGGACGGGCGAGUAAGGCCUAGGAAUCUGCCUGGUAGUGGGGGAUAACGUCCGGAAACGGGCGCUAAUACCGCAUACGCCCUGAGGGAGAAAGGGGGGGAGCUUCGGACCUCACGCUCUCAGGUGAGCCUAGGUCGGAAUAGCUAGUUGGGGGGGUAAAGGGCUACCAAGGCGACGAUACGUCACUGUUCUGUGAGGAUGAUCAGUCACACUGGAACUGAGAGACGCGCCCGACACCUACAGGGGGCGGCGGAGUGGAAUAUUUGGCAAUGGGGGAGAACCUGUGAUAGCCCCGUAGCGCGUGUGAGGAAGGUGUUCGGAUGGUGUAGAGCUCUAUGGUGGGGGAAAAGGAAGUGCGGUUAUAUAUUGCGGUGUUGACGUGACCACCAGAAUAUGCGCCGGCUAACUCCGUG